This 2071-nucleotide long non-coding RNA is filed under the name Canis lupus familiaris (dog). Its description in RNAcentral is "lncRNA (ENSCAFG00000034316.3)". The record is from RNAcentral. Lineage: Eukaryota; Metazoa; Chordata; Mammalia; Carnivora; Canidae.
UGAGGGGGCAGUGGGAGGUGACCAGGCAUCUCUGUAUUUCAUGUUGGACCAGCUUCUACCAUUUACCACGUGAGCUGGGGACAGUUACUUUCUCCAACUCUCAGUUUCUUUAUCUGUGAGGUAGGGAGAGACCUCAUGGUGCCCUUGUCAAGACCAAAUGAGGAUGGGUGUACAAUGUUAGUAAGCAGUCCUGAUAUCUGUGGUGUGAUUGCUGACCGGCAAGUGAGUAAUUUGUCUUGGAAGGAAAGGAGUGGUCCCAAUGGGAGGGCUUCCUGGAGGCAACAGAUCCCAGCCCCCGGGCCCCAUACUGGCUCGGACACCACCAGUGCCCUAGGCCAGGUCCCCAGUGGUCGCUGGUUAGACUGAAGUCACAGCCCCUGGAGUGGCCCCCAUCCCUGCCCCAAACUGGUAGGGCUAGUGGGAAGCCCCCUGUAACAAAACCUAAAAUCACAGCAGCGCUAACUGGGUUUUACGUAGCAUUUGCUUCUAAGUACUUGUUUCUCAGAAGGAGGAGGGGUGCUGGCGGUGCAAUGCCAGCAGUUCAUGUUUAAACCCUUCCUGCCCUCCCCUCCUGCUUCCCCUUAGGAUUGAGUGUGGAGGAGGGGGAGGGGAAGGCUCAGGAAGCCCAGUGCUCCUGCAGGAGCACUCCAACCUGCUUCACCUCUCCCCCUCCUCCCCUGCUUCUUCUACUGAUGCAUUUAUUCACUGGAUCAUUCAUCAUUCAUGUGUUCCUUCAUUUGUCCCUCUGCCCUCCCAUCAGCCCCUCAGCGUUCACUGAACACAAACUGAUGUCAGAACAAGUUCUAGCUCCUGUGUCAUGGAAUCGCCAAGUGCAUCUGUGGUUCCCAUGCUGCCAUCUGUUCAAGGUCCUGGAGACUUGCACGUCAGCCUCUGGAGGCAGGCAGACCAGGGAAACUCCUUGGAUUCCUCUGCUGGACUCUGCUCAUCUGUUAGGAUGGUCUUCCAGUUUGGCACCUCCACUCCUAACCCGGAUGCAUUGCCUCUUUUUGGAGUCAUGGGCACCCACCACUCACCCCUUUGAUGUCUGUCAAUCUUAGGCUUGGCUUUGGCUCCUUCAGCCCUUACUGGGUGAGGGUCUCAGGCAAGUCUGCCCUUCUGUUUCCUUAUUGCAUAGUAGGGAUGACAAUGCUUGCUUCUACAGGGUGUGUGUGUGUGUGGGGGCACUGGUAGAGGUGGUGGAAAUUCAGCAAGGUAACGCCAAUACAGUGCUGGGUACAUUGAUCAACCUGGGGCCCACCCGUGAUCGCAUAAGCCUGGGAGCCACUCAUGGGUCCUUUCCCUUUGGGAGCCACUCAGAGCCAUGGACAGAGGGAGGGGCUGCUGUAAUUAGCAGACCAGCAACCACUGCUGUAGGAAAUUCUAGUCCCUGGCAGAGGCCGAUUUGUAGGGAGCUCUUUAGAUUCCAAUUCGAACCUUCUCCUGCCGUGUAAGCCCCUUAUCCUUAGCUUGGUGCUCUCUCAUGCUGUGCUGAGAUCAUGCAAAAUUAUUCAACUAAAAUCAUCCAGCAGGAAAAGCAACCGAGCAAUCACAGUUCACUGCUGAGAAGCCAUGGCCUUAACCCAGGCUGGGCAGCAGGAGCUCAGCAGGGCUGAGAGGCCAGCUUGUUUCAGUGUUUUCCAGAGAUGGGAAUGCAGGCCCCGCUGGGCUCCUCUCCUCCAGCAGGUGCUUAGCAGCGAGCCCCAGGACUGAGUGGCCAGAGAGUCUGGAUCCACUUCAGCAUCAGGCAUUAUGGGUGACCCCAGGCUUUCCUGAGCCCCUGCUCUGCCAGUUGGAGUUGCUGGUAUGAGCUAAGGAGUUUGGAGUUCACAGCCAUUGCUCCUGGGCCCAGAGUAGCAUGUCCCCUCUUGGAGUCUUGAGGGCAAUGGGGAAAAGAGAUAGAGGAAGAAAUGAGGGUUAAGAAUAAGAGCAGGAAGAGAGAGGAAGAGGACAGGUACAGGAGGAUAUCCAGGAAUAUUGUCCGUGGGAGUACAUUUAGGCAUAUCUGGGUGCUGGGCCUUGCUUAUAGGGUACUGUGUAUCUCUCCAUCCAUACCUGGAGUGCUGUGGAGACC